UACGGAGGGUGCAAGCGUUAAUCGGAAUUACUGGGCGUAAAGCGCACGUAGGCGGUUUGAUAAGCCAGCCGUGAAAGCCCCGGGCUCAACCUGGGAAUUGCGGUUGGAACUGUCAAGCUCGAGUACAGUAGAGGGGUGUGGAAUUUCAGGUGUAGCGGUGAAAUGCGUAGAUAUCUGAAGGGACAUCAGUGGCGAAGGCGACACCCUGGACUGAUACUGACGCUGAGGUGCGAAAGCGUGGGGAGCAAACAGG
Molecule: ribosomal RNA, 253 nt
Filed under: uncultured bacterium
Lineage: Bacteria
Description: partial 16S ribosomal RNA
Rfam family: Bacterial small subunit ribosomal RNA
Source: RNAcentral